Molecule: long non-coding RNA, 1472 nt
Filed under: Homo sapiens (human)
Lineage: Eukaryota; Metazoa; Chordata; Mammalia; Primates; Hominidae
Description: non-protein coding lnc-BIN1-1:1
Source: RNAcentral
CGGGGACCUUGGUAGCGGCGCCACUGGCUGCGGCUGCAGAGUGAGAACAAGCAAACGCCCCCCACCGGCAGGGUGGAAGGAAAAUGGAGUGCGUUGGCGCUGCGGAGGAGUCACUGCGGUGAGGAUGGCCCGGACACCAAUUUGGGCACCCGCAGGCGCAGCUAGCCGGUGGGGCGCACCUGGGUCUCCUCCGGCUUCCGCGGGAUAUCUGCAGGGCGACUCCCUCCAGAUUCAGUAAACGUCCUGCUGGGGGAGUCCUUCCCCUGCAAAAGGCCCGCCCCUGCCUCCCAUGUCGUGGAGUUCGAGGCAGGGUCCCUGAAAGGGUCUUGGGGUGGGAGGAGUCCUGUGAGAUCACCGAAUGAGUCAGGGUCUGGCCUGGGUCCCAGGCCCAGGGGUCCCGAGGCCCUGGGGCAGCUGGGUAGCUCUGCUGGCCGCCCUGUGCGGGGACUCUCUACCUAUGCAGGUCUGGUCGGACCUGGAGGCAGCGGGUUCUGCUGCUGCGAAGAUUCCCAACGGCCGGUUGGGGAGGGGCUGCACAAUCCUGGACCUCGCGGGAGUACAGGACCCGCAAAGGCAGGGGAGUCGGAUCAUGUGCCAAGAGCAUCCCGGGGUCCCGGCUGCUGGCUUGGCUGCCCUGGUCAUCGCUGCGGUUAUGUGCCGUUGCUACCGCAGAGCAAGCGGCCCCGGUUCUUGAACCACACCUGCACUUGAUGGUCCUGCAAGUUGAGUCUGACAGCCAGGGCCCCCGCUCCUUGUGGGCUGUUACCUGCUCUUUCCAGCCUGUCUCCAGCUCCGGCGGCUUUCCCUUACUGUAGACUGCACUUCCUGCCGCCGCCUCCUGGGAGAGCGUGGGAUGGUGGGGGAUAACUAGGUUCUGGCAUCCUCACUCCUCCUGCCCACAAGCGAUGGGAUUUAAAUCGCACUGUCCAUGCUGUGCUCAUCGAGGCCCACCCUGCUUUUACUAGGACCCUCCCUGCAGUCCCCACUCCCUCCUUCCCACGAGUCUUGCAGUCAUGGAUUAAUCCCUUCAUUAUUGACCAGCUGCUGCAGGCAGGCCCUGUGUCGUCCUGUAUCACUUUAACGUGACCUCAUUAGUCUUUGAUUUCUCCUUCACUUUCUGGUACAAUAAGAGACUUGUAUCCAGUCUCCUUUUGUACAUUUUUUGCCCUAGACUUAGAAUCAGCCAAUUUCAUUGGUAAAUGUUAUCUAGAGAGUUCAGCCGUGGAAGUGUGCUCAUUGUUACUGGGUUUUCAUUGCUUCUGGGUCUUUUCAGUGGACAGAACUAGAAAAUAUGUAUUUUUUAAAGAGUAAAACACAAUGUGAGUUCAUACUGCAAUUUCCAAUUCACUUUUAAGAUUACAAGAUUUUUACUUAAACUUCCUUGAUUUUAUGCUAUGUCAUUUUUAUACUGAAAAUUAUGGUUCCUAAUGAUGGAAACAUAGUAAUUUAAUAAAAAUGUCAAUACUAAUAUA